AAGUCAAUCCCAAUCAAUACCCAGCACAUAAUUCAAUCCCUUGUAAUAAACAAGCACAACAAUGAAAAUGAUUCAACCAUUAACAAAAAUGAUUCAACAAAAUUAAUACCCAAUUCUAUUCAAAAAUCAAAAACGCAAAUCCCCAAUUUAAUCAAUGCAAUCAAACAUAAAACAUGAAAUUGAACAAAACCCAAGUAUUCAACGAUCAAAUUCAAACACAUAACAAGAAAUCCAACAAAAUAGAGCAGUCCUCCUCAUCUUCAAGAUCAGAUCAGAGGAGAAGGAGAGAAGCAGAACGUUGUUGAUGACUUAGAGGAGAAGCCACUGUCU
RNAcentral lists this unclassified non-coding RNA (330 nucleotides) under Hevea brasiliensis (rubber tree). Lineage: Eukaryota; Viridiplantae; Streptophyta; Magnoliopsida; Malpighiales; Euphorbiaceae. The record is from RNAcentral.